AGUGAACGCUGGCGGUAGGCCUAACACAUGCAAGUCGAACGGCAGCACAGUAAGGGCUUGCUCUUACGGGUGGCGAGUGGCGGACGGGUGAGGAAUACAUCGGAAUCUACUUUUUCGUGGGGGAUAACGUAGGGAAACUUACGCUAAUACCGCAUACGACCUACGGGUGAAAGCAGGGGAUCUUCGGACCUUGCGCGAUUGAAUGAGCCGAUGUCGGAUUAGCUAGUUGGCGGGGUAAAGGCCCACCAAGGCGACGAUCCGUAGCUGGUCUGAGAGGAUGAUCAGCCACACUGGAACUGAGACACGGUCCAGACUCCUACGGGAGGCAGCAGUGGGGAAUAUUGGACAAUGGGCGCAAGCCUGAUCCAGCCAUACCGCGUGGGUGAGGAAGGCCUUCGGGUUGUAAAGCCCUUUUGUUGGGAAAGAAAAGCAGCAGGUUAAUACCCCGCUGUUCUGACGGUACCCAAAGAAUAAGCACCGGCUAACUUCGUG
This 492-nucleotide ribosomal RNA is filed under the name uncultured bacterium. RNAcentral's name for it is "partial 16S ribosomal RNA". It matches the Rfam family "Bacterial small subunit ribosomal RNA", at positions 29 to 507 of the family's 1533-position model. The record is from RNAcentral.